UUGUCACGGGUGUGACUAGGAUGUU
RNAcentral lists this non-coding RNA (25 nucleotides) under Rattus norvegicus (Norway rat). The record is from RNAcentral. Lineage: Eukaryota; Metazoa; Chordata; Mammalia; Rodentia; Muridae.